AAAUAUUUGGUUCUGGUAUAAUGUCAGCCUAGAGUUACCUAAAAUACACAAUGUAGAACAGAUUCGUAAUGUGCUAGUUAAAACAGAAGAGAUAAGCUAAUAAAAACUCCUAAAAGGAGCAUAAAGGCAGUGUGGGCAUAAGUUUAAGACGAUAACGCUAAAAAAAUCACAACUCAAGUGGAUAGUCCUGGAAUCAAUGAGUUUAUGCUCGAAACGAACGGAAAACUAAUAAAUGUAAGCCAAAGGGGGUGCCAGCAGCUGCGGUCAGUCCCCUUUAAACAGGCUGAUAGAGGUGUAGCCUAGAGGUGGUUAAUCAAUUUUUAAUAGUAAGACAUACAUCAAGUUUAAGGAGGUGAAAUUCCGUAAAACUUGGAGGAGGCCCAAAGCUUACGCAAAGAUGAGGCCAUAAAGUUAUGGGUAUAGACACGGAUUAGAUACCCGAUUAUUCCAUAAUGUCACGUACGGUUAUUUUUCAUAGAAGUAAUUUGCUAGGAGUAUUACGAGCAGCUGCUUAAAACUCGAAGAACUUGGCGGUUCCACAAAACCAUCCAGAGGCUCUUGGCGCUUAAACCGAUGAUCCGCGUGAUAUCUUACCCACUCUAUAUGGUAAUGUACUGCCGUCGAAAGCUUAUGAUGUGAGUGUAUAAAAAUAGGCUUCAUCUUAGGCAUAGAUUAGAUCUAUGUGCUAAGACUAGGUCAGGUCGAAGUGUUCUUUAUGAGUGAGGGGUUAGCUGAGAGACAAUUUUUAAGAUAUAACAAGCUUUAAAAUGAAAUUUUUAUAGUGAGGCGGAUUUGGGAGUAAAGGGAGAUUAACUCACUCUUUUGAAUAGACGCAACUGUGGUGCGUACAAAUCGCCCGUCACCCUAGCUGAAAGGAGAGGUAAGUCGUAACAUGGUAAGGGUAGGGGAACCUGUUCUUAUAAU
Molecule: non-coding RNA, 924 nt
Filed under: Ostrea edulis (European flat oyster)
Lineage: Eukaryota; Metazoa; Mollusca; Bivalvia; Ostreida; Ostreidae
Description: 12S ribosomal RNA
Rfam family: Microsporidia small subunit ribosomal RNA (bases 168-923)
Source: RNAcentral